Long non-coding RNA from Arachis stenosperma, 4477 nucleotides. RefSeq lists it as uncharacterized. The record is from RefSeq and is a predicted model, not a curated record. The transcript has 10 exons. NCBI's taxonomy places the organism in Eukaryota, Viridiplantae, Streptophyta, Magnoliopsida, Fabales, Fabaceae.
GAUUUGCUUCCCGAGCUCCUCUUCAUUUCACAUAGCACUCCCAAUCAUUCAUAGGCGGCUACUCCUCACUCAUCCUUUCCAAAUCCUUCCUCGACGGCACCUCUCGCCCUUGCACCGCCAUUGCCCAAACCUCCGUCACACCCCUUCCCCAAUCUCUCCAUCACACCCAUUGCCUAAUCUCUCCGUCACAAACCCAAUUCUCGCCUUUUCAGUUUCUUAGCCUCGGACAAAUUCAGGUUUGGACGAGUCGGAAAGAACACGAAACUUGGAUUAACGCUGUGCAGAGCAGGUUCGGCUCUUGCCUUUGGAGGUCUCGACGCCGAUGAAUUUCGCCACCCUCUUGAUGUUGCCGUUUUCUGUCGCUGCUCGCUGAAGCUCGUCAGCGUCGUCACCGCUUUUACCUCUUCUUCUCGUCGCCGUUGGUUCAAAGACAGAGAUGGCAUGCGUUCUGUGAAGGAACUCCAGCCUGCUGAUACUGAUGAAAUCUAUUCUCAGGCAGAGAUUUCAUUGCUCCUUGCAAAUGCUAAGGUACAUCAAAAUGUGUACAUCGAGAGUGUUUGGAUCACUGGCAUGCGGUUAAGGUUCUAAGCUAUGAGCAUCAUAUUCUAAGACUAAGUUUGGGCAGAACAGAAGAGCAUUGAGUGUGAUCAAUCAGAAUCUAGUGCAAGGAGGUGUUUAAAAGGGCUAUAAUGCAGAAUGGGCCACCUGAGCAUUUUGCUUUACUGACAGUUCUAGAAUUCAUCAAACCUCAGUGAGGGAGAAAGAUUCAAUAUACACAGUGAAAGUCUGAACUCCUUUUCUGAUCAUGGGUGGCAAGAUUAUUGUACUACUUCAACCAUUUUCACACAUAUCAACAUCACAGCAGAGGACAGUUCCCCACACCGUCGAGGAGGAUGACCAAGGUGCACCGUAUAGGCUACAUCAGGGGAGAACACUGCCUCGAUAACCUGAAUGACUAGCUGAGGUUUCUGCGGCGCGAUGACCCGCAAACUCGUGAUGAGUUCAAGCAGGUGCGCAAAAUGGAACAAGGCUUCCAAGGAUUUGAUUCCGAUCAUUGAGCACUACCAGGAGGAUCAAAAUUUGCUUUUGAAUGCAGUGUAGGUUUUGGUGCUCCUUACAAUUCCAAUCAAACCAGGUUCCACGGAUAUUCGGCAGCAGCUUGAGUAUCUGUGGAGAUUGAAGUCUGUAGUGACGAGUAGUGAUAUAUGUGCUGUGGUAGUGUCAUUUCUAAAAAAAGACCACUUUGGAAUGGGUGAUGCCGACAGUGCACUAGAUCGCAUGUGGCAGAGGAAGAAAGCCGAUAAGAUGGAUACGGGAGAUUUGUUUUAUGAGGUUGAUCACUGCUAAAUCCAAGAGAAAAAAGUAAAGGUAAAAUGGUAGAAUCUUUUGCAAUGUAAUCUAUUCUAAAUGCAAGCUACUUACAUGAAUUAUGCAAUUCUAGUUAUUAUCUGCAUAUAUAUAUAUAGCUUACAUGUGGUUAAAUUGCUUCAUAUCUUCAAGGAAUCAUAUAUGUAUAAUUAAGGCCAAAUCAUAUUAAAAUUUAUUAUUGGGAUAAUUUUGUCUCCUUAUCUAUUUAUUUAACUAAAAGGACUUUCUUUCUUUUUUUUUUCUCUUUUUUAUUAUUAUUAUAAACAUAUAUCAAUGCACAUGGUGUUUUAGUUUAAUUUGGUUUCACAUGAGCAUGUUCCCAAGUUUUUGAUUAUUCUUAUUAAUUUUGAUUCUUUCUUAUCAACCCAUGUUCUCAUGUUUUCCCACACUUAGUGGAUAAACAAUCUCCUAUCUUAAACUAACUAAGGAUUCAACUUGGAAUUUUUAAUUUGUUUUUUUGCUUAAGGCUAGUGAUGUGGUUAUAGAACAGAAGGGGAUUAAAAGAGUUCAAGGGGGCUAACAAGGGUGAUGGAGGUAGGCUUAUUUGGGAUAAGUGAGGGAAAAUUUAAAUAAUGGCCUCAAUCAUAUGUGGGUAUGUAUUUACAUUCUAUAUUGGACAUAUAGAUUGGAACAAAGUAAAGAUUACAAGCAUAGAAAAGAAGUGCGAAACACACAUGAAUAAAAUUUAUGGUUGGAUGUAACCGUAUAAUUAAGCUAAAAACUCACAGGUUGUGUGUUCUUUGGCUCAGAAAUUAUAUAUCAGUUAUGUAUGUCAUGCAAGUAAAAAUCAAGAGUUUUCAUUCAACUCAAUGUGAAUUUUAAGGUGGUUCUUAAAAUCUUAGUGUUCUUCCUUGAAGAAAUGUUAACUAACUCACAUUUGUUGCUAUAUAUAUACAAAGUGUGUGGAUUGUUUUGAUUCUGUUACACUAAAGUUUCUAGUUUAUUCUUUUAUUUUCAAUUAAACCAACUUAUCAUAUGCUAAAAGGGUAAACUAUACUAAUUAAUCCACAUAUUCUAUAAUUAAUAAGCUAAAAAUGCAAAUUAAGCUAAAUAUCUAAGAUAUAUAAAGUCCAAAGUGCAAAAUGCAAAAAUAAAAUAAAAAUACAGUAAGCAAAAGAAAAAUGUGCAAGUACUAAAAGACAAAAUAAGAUACGAUAAAGUAAAAAUAAAAUAAAGUACAGAAAAAUAAUCAAAAUAAGAUAGAAGAGUCUGUAGUGGUUCACCAAAAAGAUUCGCCAGAGAUGGCGACCUCCCCACACUUAAAUUAUAGCAUCGUUAUCGAUGCUCUAUCAAGCUGGGUGUGAAGAAAUGUCAUCUCCGGAAGGAUGUGCUGGUGCUGUCUGUAUGGGCUCUGUCAGUAAAAGUGUUUGAGGUUCUGCUUGUAUAGGUGCCUGUGGGUCCGCUGGCUGUGUUUGCUGAGGCUCCUCAUGCUGGGGUUCUGCUUGCUCAGCCUCUGUUCGUGCAUCCUCUUUUUGGUCAUCCGCCUCCUCCUCAGAUGGCUCAGAUGGUGUGUCAGGCUCGGAGGGAUGUUAGUGUGGCCGGACCGGAUCAUCAACUUCAAAUGCUCAUAGUGGCGCUUGCUGCGACGCUCAAACCGCUCAUAUCGUCGCUGGUUGCGGCGUUCCAUCUGGUCCAGGCGCUCGAUUAGGCGGUGCACAAGUUGGUAGACGGGCUCGGGAUCAGGUGAUGGUGCAGUGGUGGUAGCUGGGUAGUAGAUGCUGAAGGGGCAACGGAAGAUGUAGCUGCCUCAGCGGAGGCAGUGUGGAAAGGCGGCCUGUAACCCAAGGUUAGGAACUUCCUGCUGUGAGGGAUAAUCUUCUUGCAGUCUGCAGCUGUUGGCUUCUCAUACUCCCAGGGCAUGUCAGCUCGGCGGCCUAACUGAGUGAUCAGAUAAGGGAAAGGGAGAGUGCCUCUAACAUGGACCCUGACCAUAUAAUACCUAAUGAAACGUGGAAGAUAUAGGUCCUGACCCUCCAUCACACAUCAGAUGAGGGUGAUCAUAACAGCGGGCACCUCUGUCUCAUGAGUGCUCGGCAUAAUGUAAUUACUCAGAAUCUGCUUUCAAAGCCGAGCCUCAUCAUUCAAAUAUAUCAGUUUGAUUCCUUUAGGCACCACUAUAUUCUUUCUUAUGACCCAUUGGGCAGCAGGAUCAAAGGCUAUUCUCUGCUUUACUACGUCCAUUCAAAUCGCAUAAAUCUCAUAUCCUAUUCAGUCUUUUGAUAAUUGUCAGGCUGAUCUGACUUAGGCGAAAGUUGGAGGAUGUCUUCAACAGCUUCCUUAGUGAUCAAGAUCUGCUUCCCUUUGAAGUGCACUGCAUCCAGGGAAGUCAUGAAAAAGCAAGCAGAAAAAGCCAAUAGUCCUUAAAACCAAAAGGCAAGAGUAAAAAAGAUCCAAGGCUUUGAUCAUAAAUGGAUGGAGGGUCCAAGAAAAUAAAAUUCAGGCCUAAGCGGCUAAAUCAAGUUGUCCCUAAUUAUGUGCUUGUGUCAUGAAGGUCCAAGUGAAAAGUUUGAGACAGUGGUUAAAGUCGUGAUCCAAAGCAAAAAGAGUGUGUUUAAGAGCUCUGGACACCUCUAACUAGGGACUUUAGCAAAGUUGAGUCACAAUCUGAAAAGGUUCACCAGUCAUGUGUUUGUAGCAUUUAUGUAUCUGGUGGUAAUAUUGAAAAAUAAAGUGCAUAGGGUCACGGCCAAGAUUCAUAAAAGUAGUAGUGUUUAAGAAUCAUCAUACUUAACUAGGAGAAUUAAUAACACUAUCUGAACUCUGAGUUCUUAUGGAUGCCAAUUAUUCUAAAUUUCUAAGGAUAAAGUGAAAUGCCAAAACUGUUCAGAAGGAAAAAGCUACAAGUUCUGCUCAUCUAAUUUGAACUAAUAUUCAUUGAUAUUUUGAGACUUAUAGUAUAUUCUCUUUUUUUUAUCCCAUUUGAUUUUCAGUUGCUUGCGGACAAACAACAAUUUAAGUUUGGUGUUGUGAUGAGCGGAUAAUUUAUACGUUUUUUGGCAUUGUUUUUAGGUAGUCUUUAGUAGGAUCUAGGUAUUUUUAGGAAUGUUUUUAUUAGUUUAUGCAAAAUUCACAUUUCUGGAUUUUACUAUGAGUUUGUGUGUUUUUCUGU